RNA transcript from Nomia melanderi (Alkali bee), 2357 nucleotides. It is a transcript of the gene named ATP synthase mitochondrial F1 complex assembly factor 2 homolog l(2)k14505, with no coding region annotated. The record is from RefSeq and is a predicted model, not a curated record. NCBI's taxonomy places the organism in Eukaryota, Metazoa, Arthropoda, Insecta, Hymenoptera, Halictidae.
AUCCUCUUUUAAUAACAGGUAUUCUUGGCUCUAAGUUGAAAGUAUAUACUAAGCAUACGUUCAAAACAAGCCAUGCUAAUUGAAAAUGUUUCAUUUUUGGUUAACUUCAAUUGGUCGCAUAUGUACAGUUUGGUGUUCGUUGAAAACUGAAUAUAAUUUUCGAAGUUUAUUCGUACUCUUAUGAGUAAUACUAUUCUCGUAUAUGUUUUUUAACUUUAUCACCGCAUUACUCAAGUAGGUACCUCUUGAACAAGCACUGUAUUCACCGAACCCACCCAUGCAAGUUGAGUAUUUUUCAAUGAACAUAAUAUUUCAGAAUUUAUAGAGGGCAGCAUAAAUAAAUUGAUAGAAGCUUACUGACAAGCUACGUUAAUCGAAUUCAAUUAUUAUAAUCAUCAUAGUAUGUUAUUUUGGAUAAUAAAAUUUAUUUUACAAUAAAAAUUGAGUUAUAUCUAAAGUCAGUUAACUUACAAACCGAGAUUUUAUUUAAACAUAUUCAUUCUUGUUUUAAAUAUUACUUUAGAUUAAAAUAGGAAAACUAUAGUAGUUACAUCACUAUUUUUAAAUUUAUUAUAAAUAAUUAUCAUAAGAAAUAUUUCUGUUAGUUAAUAUGUAAUAGGAAAAGAAUGAUUAAUAGAUAAUUUGUAUAUCAAUUUAUUAUAUUCCCAAUCUGUAAACAUACCGAAGAUAUUUGGUAUAACCAACAUAAGGUGUUUUGAUUGACAAAUUAAAGCUAGAAAAGGGACUGAAUAAUAUUUACAGUGAAAAAUUCAUUGUACAUUCUUCGAAAAUGCACUAUUUCAAAUACAGAAGAUUUACUACGGCAUAUAGCGUAGUAAGAAAUAUGGCUACUGUUAAAAGGUUUUAUCGAAAAACAAAUAUUUUAUCGAGUGAUGGAAAAUUUGAAAUUUCACUUGAUCAAAGGAAACUCAAAACACCAAAGGGUAAAAUAUUCGAAGUAGACAACAAACCACUCGCAUUAGCAGUAGCUGCAGAAUGGGAUGCUCAGAAAGAAAUUAUUGAUAAAAGCAAUAUGCACUUGACAUCUCUAUGCAAUACAGUAAUAGAUAAUCCCCAAAAUCAUACGAAACUUGAUAUGGUAAAUUAUGUUGUUAAUUGUUUGGAAAUGGAUACAUUAUUAUUUCAGUCGAAUGAGAAUGACGAGUUAUAUAAGUUACAAAUUGAGAAAUGGGACCCAUUAGUACAAUGGUUUUGUGACAAUUAUGGGGUGGAUAUAAUAAAAACUACAAGUAUAGAGGCUCCUACAGUGCCUAUAGAGACUAAAGCAACAUUACUAAAAUACUUAAUGUCUUACAAUUUUAGCGCUGUUCAUGGUUUCAUGUAUGGAGUAGAUGCAAUAAAAUCUGUAAUUCUCACAUUAGCUGCGGUGGAAAGAGUGCUCAGUAUAGAAGAAGCAGUAAAACUAACACUUUUAGAAGAAGAUUUCCAAACUUCCCAUUGGGGAUCUGUAGAAUGGCAUCAUGACCACAACAAAUAUGAUUUACAAGCUCGUUUGGCUGCAGCAAUUUUAUUCGUACAUUUGAACUCUUGUUCGGUAACAAGUCAGCCGAAAAAUGAUUAUGGAAACACCAGUUAAUGUACAAAAUGUUUGUACUGUGAGUAUAUUAGAAUAUAAUGAAAUAGUAACAAUAUUUCAUUAAUUUGAAGAAUGACAAGAAGAUGAAUUGAUAGAUGAUAAUACUUCUACUGGUAUGGAACAAUCGGAACCCAUCCACUCUUUUGUACAAAUACAACUGAAAUAAUGAAUAUAAUGUUCAACGUAGGCGUUGAAUGCUGAAGACUGUAUAUUAAGUUUAAAACGGGACUGACCUAUACGUAGCUCCAUGGUUUAAACAUACAGCACCAUUUUUACAUGAAUGGCGAAUACAUUCAUUCCGAUGGCAUUCACCGACACCACGACCGGUUGCUGGACUAGAGCUAGUUAUUGGAUAAAUCGCGCUAUUUGUGCGUAUUUCAAUGUCGAAUAUGCAACCAGAGAAUCCAGUGUGCAGCGGCAAAUCAUGGGGGAUAUUUACCAGAUUCAUUAUAUUAUAAUUUACAACAACUUCAAUAAAGAAAAAUAUGAUAUUAAUAGAACGAACCAAUGUAAAGAAUCGGUGAUACGUCCAAACGAGUCAUGGAUCCAACUACGCGUCCAGUUACAUUACCUAUACCAUCUACAGCAAGCCAUGCAUCUCGACCUCUUCUUCCAACUCGAACCGUGUGCGCUAUAUAACUUUUACUUGCUGUAGCUGUUAUAGUGGUAGCGCUAAGGGGAACACUCGUAAAUAUUCUACGUACACCUAUAAAAAGUGGUAACAUUAUAAAACGAAAUAAAAUUUAAUAUCGAAACAUUA